GUGCUCACUUCGGCAGCACAUAUACUAAAAUGGAACAAUACAGAGAAGAUUAGCAUGGCCCUGGCACAAGGAUGACAUGGAAAUUCAUGAAGCAUUCCAUAUUUUU
Molecule: small nuclear RNA, 106 nt
Filed under: Octodon degus (degu)
Lineage: Eukaryota; Metazoa; Chordata; Mammalia; Rodentia; Octodontidae
Source: RNAcentral